Long non-coding RNA from Canis lupus familiaris (dog), 2054 nucleotides. RefSeq lists it as uncharacterized. Lineage: Eukaryota; Metazoa; Chordata; Mammalia; Carnivora; Canidae. The transcript is spliced from 4 exons. The record is from RefSeq and is a predicted model, not a curated record.
GUCUCCUGGAUACCAGGCCCAGGGCCCUCAUUAGGAUUCAUGGCGCCUCUGACAUCACUGGUGCUUUUGUGAUGCAAACCUCCACGUUGUCUAAGCGCAGGAGGGGCCCCUGGAUCUGUGUGUCCCUGUUACUGUGCACGCCCACGAAAUGGGACACGCAGAUGCGCCCACGCAGGACUAAAUGAAUAACUGGCUAAAACGCCUUCCAUUCCUGCUGGAAUUUAGACCAGGUGCCUUGGCCACCUGGAUGAACACAACACCCCAGGAAGAGUAGGACAAGAAGAGGGGCAAGGCUUGGUCCCCAACUCCUUGGAGUUUCAGGAGUGACCAGCCCGCAGCCCGCGGCCUGAGAGACCCAGAAGAGCCCCGGGGGUCCCCUGUCCCUUCCCUGGCUGUGCUCUGAAGUCACACCAGCCACAUGUCCCGGGCCCUGUCAUGAUCCGUCGUGGAUGGUUACCACCCUGGGCCGUGCAGAUGCAGAGCAUCUCCAUCAUCGUAGACGGUUUCCUGGGACGACACUGGCCUGCACAGACAAGGUCCUGAAUCCAGCAAGUCAUCAGGUCUGUGCUGCUGUCAUGUGAUAUGACCUCUGCUGUGUCUGGCAAGUCCCUUCACCUCUGCCUUGUAAGGCCACUCGUGAUGCAUGUAGGGUCCCCCUGGGAAAUCUCAGUGAUUGUCUCAUCUCAAAAUCCUUAAUUAUAUCUAUAAAUACUCUUUUUUUUGGGUAAGGUCACCUUUACAAGAUCCAGGGAUUAGAGACCUCGAUGUCUCCAUGUGGUUGUUCCUCAACCUGCUUGUUAGAUGCUGAUCCAUCACCUGCUUUGUCUUAAUGUCAUAUUUGUGAUGUUCUGGUCCCUAACCACUUCAGCGCCUGAGAGAAAGGGGAACCAGCUGUAAAAAGGAAAUACUUCUCUUAAUUACCUUUGUACCCAGAGUGUGCUCUGGGCAAGGAGCCGAGGUGGUGGGAUGUUUAAGAAAGCAAGAGCCAUCAAUCAUGCUGGCCCUGCUGCUGGCCGACUUGCCUCCUGCAGACCCUGUCACCAUGGCCGUAGGUGGCAUGUGAUCAAUCGUUUCUCUGGGAGCUCUGAGUGACGCUGUCUCCUGUGAGAUGAGAGUCCACGAGCAACGGCCUCUGGAGGGAAUGUUCUAGAAGGGGCUGGCCCCAGGGCCUCCCUCUGCUGGGUAUAGGGGUAUAAGGAGAGCUCAUAGGGGAUACUUUGACCCACCAGGCAGCCCAUGUACUCCUCAGACCACGGAUUCAGCAACAGCACGGAUUAUUCUGGAGACCACGCUUCCUCCGUGUAGGCAGGAGGGAAGAGGUCCCUGACAAGACCCCCAACUCCAUGCCUGUCUGCUCACAGCCGCUCUGCCAUCACCCCCUGGAGACAGCGGGCUGGCUCCCUUUCACCUUCGUCCUGCCCAGGUCGCCCCCAAAGGCCCCUGGGACCCUGGUCCUCCCUCAUCCCCAGGCUAACCCCACAGCUGUGGGGCCAGAGAAGACCCCCCAAUCCCCUGGACCCCCUUUCUUCUUCCCACAGCAUGUCCAUCUUGCCUAUACCCCGCGUCUUGCUCAUUUACCUGGCUGAUUCUAGAAUGCAAGCUCCUGCAGUCAGGGCUUUUGUCUGGAGAUUGUCACCUCGUGCAAGACUCGCAGCAGCUCAAGGAGAGGGAGUAGCCCCAUGUGCCCCGCACCCUGUUUCCGAACGGGGUUCAGAGCAGCAGGUGGCUCGUGAGGAAGGGCUCGUGAGGGUGGAGCGUCUGCUGGGGUCGGGCUGGGGCUCUGCUCCCCGCAGACUCUGCAUGGCCUUGCAGAGCCGGCCUGGGGAGCGUGAGGGGACACUCAGUUGCGGCCCGAGCACCACUGGCCCCCCGCUCUCCGGACGGGCCAUGGGACAGGCCAAGGGGGGCCUGCUCAGAGGGUGUGAGGGAUCACCGGACACCCGGCUCCCCGCACUCGGGUGGUGGGUGCAGUGCUCCCGGCCACUGAGGUCGCGCUGCGGGGACCCCCCAGGUCUGAGCUCGUGACAAGGCCGCAGCGCCCGGAGGUGUGGCCG